UCAGGACGAACGCUGGCGGCGUGCUUAACACAUGCAAGUCGAGCGGUAAGGCCUUUCGGGGUACACGAGCGGCGAACGGGUGAGUAACACGUGGGUGAUCUGCCCUGCACUCUGGGAUAAGCCCGGGAAACUGGGUCUAAUACCGGAUAUGACUGCAUGCCGCAUGGUGUGUGGUGGAAAGCUUUAUGUGGUGCAGGAUGGGCCCGCGGCCUAUCAGCUUGUUGGUGGGGUAAUGGCCUACCAAGGCGACGACGGGUAGCCGACCUGAGAGGGUGACCGGCCACACUGGGACUGAGACACGGCCCAGACUCCUACGGGAGGCAGCAGUGGGGAAUAUUGCACAAUGGGCGGAAGCCUGAUGCAGCGACGCCGCGUGAGGGAUGAAGGCCUUCGGGUUGUAAACCUCUUUCAGCAGGGACGAAGCGUGAGUGACGGUACCUGCAGAAGAAGCACCGGCUAACUACGUGCCAGCAGCCGCGGUAAUACGUAGGGUGCGAGCGUUGUCCGGAAUUACUGGGCGUAAAGAGUUCGUAGGCGGUUUGUCGCGUCGUUUGUGAAAACCCGGGGCUCAACUUCGGGCUUGCAGGCGAUACGGGCAGACUUGAGUGUUUCAGGGGAGACUGGAAUUCCUGGUGUAGCGGUGAAAUGCGCAGAUAUCAGGAGGAACACCGGUGGCGAAGGCGGGUCUCUGGGAAACAACUGACGCUGAGAAC
This 713-nucleotide ribosomal RNA is filed under the name Rhodococcus sp. VP10-3. RNAcentral describes it as "bacterial SSU rRNA". It matches the Rfam family "Bacterial small subunit ribosomal RNA", at positions 24 to 754 of the family's 1533-position model. Lineage: Bacteria; Bacillati; Actinomycetota; Actinomycetes; Mycobacteriales; Nocardiaceae. The record is from RNAcentral.